Molecule: long non-coding RNA, 402 nt
Filed under: Homo sapiens (human)
Lineage: Eukaryota; Metazoa; Chordata; Mammalia; Primates; Hominidae
Description: non-protein coding lnc-ZNF395-2:5
Source: RNAcentral
AUCUCACCAGCCUCCUCCAUGCCAGGCUCGGGCUCUUCCUGCUCCUGGAACAAGCUCCGGACUCGGGGCAUUCGCCGCAGAUGCUGCAUCUCCGAAGCUCUCGGCUGGUAGAGAGCAGCCGCCACAUGCUCUGGGGCGGCAGGGCUGAGCUGCCAAGAGCUCCUGGCCAUGACCUUGGUGCAUGGAGUCCAGAGGGGGCUGGGGAAGACCUUCUCUUCACACUCGAGGAUGCACACCUGCAAAGAUACGGGUGUGGGGAGAGAUGCCAUCAUCAGACCAGAGCCCAGCAGACCCGCUCGGCUCCUAGGAACACUCUGCUCUGCCUCUCCUGCCAACCCUGACUUCUAGCCACCAGCUGGACCACGAUGUUUCUCCAGCCCCUCUUGGCUGGUUCUGACCUUG